CCAAAUAUACACUAAAAACCUAACAAAAUCCCUAUAGAAAUUAAGAAAUCAACAAAAACCUUGUCAUGUCUAAUGAUCAAAGAGCUCUAGUCCUAUCAAGCAACAACAAUAAUAGAGACAACAAUCAUGAAGAUCAUCAGGAUCAAGAUCAAGAUCAAGAUCAGAAUCAGAAUCAGAAUCAUCGAGAUGAUCAUAUCAGAGAUAUCCACACUAUGUCACCACCACAACCACCAGUACCACCAAUCAUGAUGAAUAUUAAUCGUGCAGGACGAAGAAGGGAAGCUUGGGAAACAAGUAGUCAUAGAUCAUCAUCUUUGUCCUCAGAGUUAGG
This 331-nucleotide long non-coding RNA is filed under the name Solanum tuberosum (potato). RNAcentral describes it as "long non-coding RNA (STUB_LNC004444)". Lineage: Eukaryota; Viridiplantae; Streptophyta; Magnoliopsida; Solanales; Solanaceae. The record is from RNAcentral.